GGUCGAUGAUGAGACGUAAAAGGUCUGAUAACCCGUAAUCCUCUAGCCCCCGCCUCCGCUCCCAGCAGCCCCUGCUUUACCCAGCAUGCUCUAGUCGUGCACUGCUGGUCUUCAGGAACUGCUGACACACUGGAUGUGACAUCACAAUCUGAGUCAAUCAAGAGAUCCCAUUGGCUCAGUGUGAUGAUGACUUGCAUCCCACAGAACCAAUCCGCAUGGAGCAAGGGGGCGGGGCAGAGGACAGGGAGAUGAUCACAAGUUUUCAAGCUGAGACC
Gadus morhua (Atlantic cod) is the source of this 275-nucleotide non-coding RNA. Ensembl annotates it as small Cajal body-specific RNA 6. Lineage: Eukaryota; Metazoa; Chordata; Actinopteri; Gadiformes; Gadidae. The record is from Ensembl.